CCUACGGGGGGCAGCAGUGAGGAAUAUUGGUCAAUGGACGCAAGUCUGAACCAGCCAAGUAGCGUGCAGGAUGACGGCCCUCCGGGUUGUAAACUGCUUUUAGUUGGGAAUAAAAGGGGGCUCGUGAGCCCCGUAUUGUAUGUACCAUCAGAAUAAGCCACGGCUAACUACGUGCCAGCAGCCGCGGUAAUACGUAGGUGGCAAGCGUUAUCCGGAUUUACUGGGUGUAAAGGGCGUGUAGGCGGGAAAGCAAGUCAGAUGUGAAAGCCAUGGGCUCAACCUGUGGCCUGCAUUUGAAACUGUUUUUCUUGAGUACUGGAGCGGCAGACGAAAUCCCUAGGGAAGCGGGGAAAGGCGUAGAUAUUAGGAGGAACACCAGGGGCGAGGGCGGUCUGCGGGACAGCAACUGACGCGGAGGUGCGAAAGCGUGGGGAGAAAACAGGAUGAGAUACCCUAGUAGUC
RNAcentral lists this ribosomal RNA (462 nucleotides) under uncultured bacterium. RNAcentral describes it as "partial 16S ribosomal RNA". It matches the Rfam family "Bacterial small subunit ribosomal RNA", at positions 338 to 795 of the family's 1533-position model. The record is from RNAcentral.